CCCUCAGCCGUCCCUCCGGGCCCGGGGCGGGCGGUGGGCAGGGCCCCGCCGCUCCCUCAGCCUCCGCCCAGCCCGGCCAGACCCUGCGCGUUCAGCGAGCCCGGGGGACGCGCUGCAUCAUCCUUGAGCAUCAAUGAAUGACCAAGCAUGGCUUUCUUCAAGCAACAGAAGGUGGAGGAUGUUUAUGAAAUUGGUGAAGAACUGGGAAGUGGCCAGUUUGCUAUAGUGAAGAAGUGCCGAGAGAAAAGCACAGGGGUGGAAUACGCUGCCAAGUUCAUCAAGAAGCGCCAGAGCCGGGCCAGCCGGCGCGGGGUGAGCCGCGAGGAGAUCGAGCGCGAGGUCACCAUUCUGCAGCAGAUCCUGCACACCAACAUCGUCAAGCUGCACGACAUCUACGAGAACAAGACAGACGUGGUCCUCAUCCUGGAGCUGGUUUCUGGAGGAGAACUUUUUGACUUCCUGGCACAGAAGGAGUCUUUGAGUGAAGAGGAAGCAACCAGGUUCAUUAAGCAGAUUUUGGAUGGUGUGAAUUACCUUCACUCUAAGAAAAUUGCUCACUUUGAUCUAAAGCCUGAAAACAUUAUGCUUCUAGACAAGAAUAUCCCUAUUCCGCACAUCAAACUCAUUGACUUUGGCCUGGCUCACAAAAUAGAAGAUGGAGUUGAUUUUAAAAACAUAUUUGGAACUCCAGAAUUCGUAGCUCCAGAAAUUGUAAACUAUGAACCACUUGGACUAGCUGCAGACAUGUGGAGCAUAGGAGUCAUCACCUACAUACUGCUUAGUGGUGCAUCACCUUUCCUUGGAGAAACUAAACAAGAAACACUUGCCAACAUCACAGCAGUAAAUUAUGAUUUUGAUGAAGAAUUUUUCAGCAAUACUAGUGACCUGGCAAAAGACUUUAUUCGGAAACUACUGGUGAAAGAUACACGGAAGCGGCUUACUAUUCAGGAAGCUCUGUCUCAUCCUUGGAUAACGCCCAUGGACAAGCAACAGGCUUUGGUUCGGAAAUCAUCUGUUGUUAACAUGGAAAAUUUCAAAAGGCAAUACGCUAGAAGGCGAUGGAAGCUUUCAUACCGUAUUGUUUCACUGUGCAACCACUUAUCGCGCUCGCUGGUGGAGAAAGUCCAGACACAAGAUAAGAGUUUGAGAAACUGUGAAAGUGACAGUGAGGAUCUUUCACAAAGAAAAGCCCAUCUUCAGAGGAGAAGCAGCAUCUCAUAAUGGGAUGAGGAUUCCAUGGGCAGGAGACAAGAAUCUUUCAUCCUUGCUGAAGCAAGCAGCCCUGGCAGCAGACUUCUUGUCUGAGUCCUUGGUAUGAUGCUUCUUGUUUCUCAAACUACACCAACAACUGGAUGAUGGUCUUAAAUACCUACUGAGCAUUUUAGAAAAUUGGGAAUCAAGAUUCCCUGGGAAAUGCUACAGCACAAACACCAGUUGGAGUGUUUUUAUAUGUUAAGUGGUUCAGUGAUAAUUCAGUCUAUUUCUGAUGUCGAAUGCACUCAGGGUGUAGGGUUUCUACUGAUAAUCUUUUACUCUAGAAUAAUUCCCUUUCCACACAGUGUUUAAGACUGUGUUAUUAUUUCAGUCAGGGAAAUUGCUAGUGAGUCUUAAGGAUUUUUUAAUGCAAUUUUUAUAUUUGUUAAUAGCAUAAAUAUUUGAUGACAGGUAUCUGGCAGGUUUUGUUAGCUAUGUGCAGUACUCUGUUAUUGCUGUCACUGAAGAGAAAAUCACAAUGCCAUUACAUAGCAUAACCUUGAUUUUGUGAACCUGGCAGUAAAUAGUUCUGAAAUGCAACAAGAACUGUGCUCUGGCCCUUGUCUCUGGGUGAGGAUUACCACAACUCCCAUUGUCAGUGUGAGUACGACUGACUGUGGCACUGAGGUAGGCCAAAGCAAUUUUUGGAUGACAAAGAGAAAAAAAAUCUGUAGUGAUUUACAUGCACCCAAAUCCAACAUUUUCCCAAAGGAUGACAGGAUGCCUCAAAAAGGCAAUUAGAAACCUAAGGCAUGCGAAAAAAUAGUCUUAGACUUUGUUAUUGUUGUCAAUAUUGUUUAUUGUCAGCAAAUUGGAGACUUGUUAACACCUAUUUGUAUAGGUGCUGUUUACAUGUAACCCAGACUGCAGACAUCUGGUUUUUAUUCAGGGAAUUGUAUCCAAAAUUGAGGAAAUAAGCACUUUGAUAUUGAUGUAACACCUUUGCACAGGGAAGUUGCAUCAUUUUAACUAUAUUACUUUCUAAACCAGUAUUGUUCAAUUGGUAGCAGAAAAUGUGCAUAGACUAGGGUAUUUUUUCAUUGAAUGUAUUUGCUAGAAGUUCCUAUUUAUUUUGCCAUUUAAUGAAUUAAAAAUCAGAAGGCAAGUCUAUUAGAAACAACUAUAGACAGAUGAGGAAACUGAUUUUGUUUGGCUUUACACUUGUCAUCUCUAGGCUGAGGUUUUAGAGUUGAAAACUAGUAUCAGCUUAAUUUUGAUGGCUUCCAGUUUCUAAGAAAGAAAUAGAAAUAUGCUACUUUUAUUUGUAACUGUAUCCUUGCUUAGAGACUAAAAUGCAGUUGAUAAGAAAUUACUUCUGUGUAAGGAAGAAAAUGUAUGAGAAGCUUUGGAGGAGAGAGGCAGAACAUAGGAUUUGAAACAGAAAAUGAAGGAGAGGGUGGGACAAAAAAAGCAGUGGAGAGGAAUGAGUAUGAGAGGGAUGUUAAGGUGAUCCUGGACUGGGAAAGUUGGAGGAAAUGAAAGAGAAUGUGAAUAUAUGAAUUGUGGAAGCUGGAGAGUGAAUGUUUCUGCAAAUAAUUGCACUGCACUUUUAUACUACUUAUUUCUUUUUAUUUUGUAUCUUGUGCUGCCAUAGCCUGUGAUGUGUGCUGGUCAAGGGAUAAGGUGCAAGGCAUGGGCUUUUCUUCAUAUUGAAUUAAAAGGUGUAUUUCUGAACUUUCUUUGUAAUUCUUGAGACAGAAUCCUCCAAAAGUGUUGCAGCAAUGUAUGUAUUAAGAGGGCGCAGUAACAAGGAAACCUGAGGUUUCAGUGCAUCAUAAUUUCAGCUGGAAUAGAGUUAAUUUUCUCCGUAGCUGGUAGUGCUGUGUUUUAGAUUCAGUAUGAGAAUGAUGUUGAUAAUAUGCUGAUGUUUUAGUUCUUGCUAAGUAGUGGUUAUCAUAAGUCAGGACUUUUCAUUUUCCCAUGCUCUGCUGGUGAGGAGGUACACAGAAAGCUAGAAGGGACCAUAGCCAGGGACAGCUGACCCAAAAUAUUCAAAGGGAUAUUCCAGCCCAUGGAAUGGCAUGCUCAGUAUGCAAACUGGGGUGAAUUGGCUGGGAGCCACAGGUCACUGCUCAGGGAUGGGCAUUGGUCUGUAUGUGGUGAGCAAUUAUGUUGUGCAUCCCUUGUCUUUCCUGCGUUUUAUUCCUCUCUUUUCCUUUCCAUUAUUGUUAAUUAUUAUGAUUAUAAUUAUAUUUUCCUUUAGUUCAAUUACAAUAUUGUUCAUAUCUCAAAGUAACCCUCAAAGCUGGCUUGCCAGUUCUCCUCCCCACCAGGGCCAGGGGAAGGUGAGUGAGGGGCUGUGUGGGGCCUAGUUGCCAACUGGGGUUAAACCAUGGCAGUGUCUGGAGGGAAUCUUUCAUAAACAGAACUCUAAAAAUAUAUAUUUGGAUAAAAAGCUGCCCACCUUACCUACCAAAUUUUGCUUCCUGCUUUCCCAAGCAUGUGGAAAAUCAAACAGGCUCCAAGCCAGUGGUAUUUUUCUGAAUUUCUGGACUUUAAAAACACGUUUGGUUUUCAAAUUUGAGGUUGUGAGAUGUAUAUGUAAGUUACACUCAUGAAAAUUAAGCCCUGGUUAAAAUAGGUGUUAGGUUGUUGGAUCAGGAUUGUGCUCUCAGGGAGAUGGGUCAUUUUAAUCUAAAAUCCUAGGAACUAUUGAGAAGGAUGGGACACAACAGAAAGGCAGAUAGAGGAGUGCAAGGCUGUGUGAAGCUCAGGCUUAUUAAUUCUACCUUUAAUAAAUUAAUUCUACCUUUAUAAAGAUGUAAGGUGGUGUUUUGACAAGACAUUACAGACAGCUCACUGCUCAGUCUUCAGCCUUUGUGCUAAGGCCGGGCCUUUCUCUCUGGCACUGUCACUCCACAUGGCUCCCAAGCAACUCGAUUGCACAGGAACCACAACAGCUUUCGUGUCCUGCCAAACUAUUCCCUGACUUUUCCAGCUAGGAGCCUGCUGUGAGUGUAGAAUCUCUUGUUCUCAGGACUAAUGUUGGUGGCGCAUUAGGAAGCUUUACAGUGCCUUCCCAGCUGUGGUGUUCCCUGUGUUCAUCACCCUGUCUGUUCAUGAGGGGAAGCUCAGCCCUCUCAGGGAGGUACAAUGCAAUUGUGCUGCUGCCAGCAUUGGCAGGACACCUGCUCUGUGCAGGGCUUGGUCUGGUAUUCACCAAAAAAAAAAAAAAAAAAAAAAAAAAAGACAUGGAAGGAAAUGGAACACUGAAUGAUUUUGUGUUACAGAAUCUGCUUUGCUGGGAGAAAAAAAAAUCUACUUUCUAUGUAUCAUUCUGUUUUGCAGUAGGGAACCUGGAGACAUAUGAAGUUAUAGUCUGAAGGGAGGAAAAAAACCACAAUAAACCCCACAAAAGCCCACAAGUAUUUUUACUUUAAUAAAGUAUAUAGCUAUUUGGUUAUUUUUAUUCUUAUUUUAAUGGUGAUGUUUUUUAAUCUACAUAUAUUUUUAUUAAGAGAAACACAGAUUUUUAAAUUUUUUUUUUGUGCCUGGAAAUAGUACAGACUGUCAAAAAUAGCAGAGAUAUUUGUUACUGUGAUUUGUCACUGUGAUUUGCUAAUAAAGUGUUAGAAAGCAGGACGGGUGUGCGUGUCUGUGUUUCCCCCGGGCCGGGAGCGGGGCCUGAGCCGAGGCCCCGCAGCCGUGGAGUCCCCGAGGCCGGGACGCGGCGGCGCCUCAGGGCAGCGGGAGGGAGCGGGCCCGGGCCGGCGGCACCGGGGCGGGUUCGUGCCGCCCCUGCCCCCGGUGCCGGCCCGCUGGGGGUGAGGGGGGCUCAUCGGGCGCAGGUGGCGACAGGGCCGCUCUGGGGCUGCGGAGGAGCCGCCGCGGGGGCACUGGCUCGCCCUGUGGCCCGAGAGAGCUUGCUGGGCCCGAUGGACCGUGCUUCCCCCUCAGCACCGAGGUGCCCACAGCGCAGCCCGGUGUCCCGCACCCUCGACAGCCAGUAAAAUGAAACAAAAGGGGAGAUAAAACCAUGAGCUCCUUCGCCAAAUGAGUUGGAAUCCAAAAAACAGGAUAGAAUCAAAAUGAGACUGCACUGACAAACCUAAUCCAAAGCUGAGAAGACACACAGCAUCCCACAGCAAGGAUGGACAACAGCAUCCCACAAAGAAAAAAGCUGGAGAGUUUAUCUACCAUUUAGAAGAAGGUCCUCAAGAGCUUCCACCUUCUACUCAAGUUCACAAACAUCAACAGACCCAGAGAACCCCUAGAAAAUGCAGAAAAGCCCAAACAGCUUUGCCUCCUGCACAGCCUGCAUGACCACAACCCAUGGCAUCAGGAAGCAUGAAAAAGAAAACACUGAACAACUCACCAGUAAUAUUUACAAUAACUCAGACUGAAUAACACUCAAAUUUGGUAAACAAAUUUUGACAGCAAUAAAGCUUAACAAAAUGAACUCAAUAAAACUCUGCCCUAAAAGGACUUCAAAUUAAUUACUCAAUUAUUACCUCAAUCAAUAGCUCAAUUAUUACCUCAGUAAAACAGAAGGUACCUUUAAGAAGACUCAGAGACAACCAUUAUACUGAAUACAACUGUGGUCUAUAUAAAACUGGAAUAAAACCUUAUCUAGACUUACUAAUAUUGAAACUUAGCAGACAUAAAAUCCACCAAAGCAACCCAUUAAAAUUUAGCCUUGCUCAGUUUAACAGAAGCAUUAUACCCUUGGACCUUAUGAAAAUACAACUGCAAAUUAGGACCUCCAAAAGUUAUAGAUGCAACAAGAUAUAGCUUAUUCUAUUGGUAUUGGUAUAACA
RNA transcript from Prinia subflava (tawny-flanked prinia), 6011 nucleotides. It is a transcript of the gene named death associated protein kinase 2, with no coding region annotated. Lineage: Eukaryota; Metazoa; Chordata; Aves; Passeriformes; Cisticolidae. The transcript has 13 exons. The record is from RefSeq and is a predicted model, not a curated record.